GGGGGCGUUUUAGAUUCGCUCGGGGGAGCAAUGGCAGAAGUGGCGUGUCGAGAUUCCGCUUGAUCUCGUAAAACAGCGGACAAUUUAUAAUUGCCAAAGAAAAUAAUUACGCUUUAGCUGCUUAAUUGCAGCUAACAUCCUGCCUUCUCAACCUGCGGAGGAGGGCCAGGGUGUCAAAUUAGCAGGGAAACUUGUGCGGCCACCGUCUGAGGCCAAAACAAGGAACCAACCAGACUGGCCUUAAAGGAAUCCCGCUUUCAGGAGUCCCAUAAGGCGAGAACCAAUAUGAAAGCUACACACGUAGAGGCUUUUGUGGUUGCCUUUCGAUACAGGGGUGCAAGUCCCCUCGCCUCCACCA
This 358-nucleotide transfer-messenger RNA is filed under the name Peptococcaceae bacterium. It matches the Rfam family "transfer-messenger RNA". From Rfam's summary of the family: Bacterial tmRNA, also known as 10Sa RNA or SsrA, is named for its dual tRNA and mRNA-like properties. Lineage: Bacteria; Bacillati; Bacillota; Clostridia; Eubacteriales; Peptococcaceae. RNAcentral also lists the same sequence under 1 other name. The record is from RNAcentral.